This is a small nuclear RNA of Sarcophilus harrisii (Tasmanian devil), 104 nucleotides long. NCBI's taxonomy places the organism in Eukaryota, Metazoa, Chordata, Mammalia, Dasyuromorphia, Dasyuridae. The record is from Ensembl.
GUUCUUGCUUUGGCAGUACAUAGACUAAGACUGGAAUGGUACAAAGAGUAGCAUGGCCUCUGUGCAAAGAUCACAUACAAAUGCAUAAACCAUUCCAUAUUUCA